CGCGUAGGUGGUUUGUUAAGUUGGAUGUGAAAGCCCCGGGCUCAACCUGGGAACUGCAUCCAAAACUGGCAAGCUAGAGUAUGGCAGAGGGUGGUGGAAUUUCCUGUGUAGCGGUGAAAUGCGUAGAUAUAGGAAGGAACACCAGUGGCGAAGGCGACCACCUGGGCUAAUACUGACACUGAGGUGCGAAAGCGUGGGGAGCGAACAGGAUUAGAUACCCUGGUAGUCC
RNAcentral lists this ribosomal RNA (229 nucleotides) under uncultured bacterium. Its description in RNAcentral is "partial 16S ribosomal RNA". It matches the Rfam family "Bacterial small subunit ribosomal RNA", at positions 568 to 796 of the family's 1533-position model. The record is from RNAcentral.